AGAUUUGAUCAUGGCUCAGAUUGAACGCUGGCGGAAUGCUUUACACAUGCAAGUCGAACGGCAGCAUAGGUGCUUGCACCUGAUGGCGAGUGGCGAACGGGUGAGUAAUACAUCGGAACGUGCCCGGUCGUGGGGGAUAACGUAGCGAAAGUUACGCUAAUACCGCAUACGAUCUACGGAUGAAAGCGGGGGACCGUAAGGCCUCGCGCGAUUGGAGCGGCCGAUGUUAGAUUAGGUAGUUGGUGGGGUAAAGGCUCACCAAGCCGACGAUCUAUAGCUGGUCUGAGAGGAUGAUCAGCCACACUGGGACUGAGACACGGCCCAGACUCCUACGGGAGGCAGCAGUGGGGAAUUUUGGACAAUGGGCGCAAGCCUGAUCCAGCCAUUCCGCGUGCAGGACGAAGGCCUUCGGGUUGUAAACUGCUUUUGUACAGAACGAAAAGCUCUGGGUUAAUACCCUGGGGUCAUGACGGUACUGUAAGAAUAAGCACCGGCUAACUACGUGCCAGCAGCCGCGGUAAU
Molecule: ribosomal RNA, 522 nt
Filed under: uncultured bacterium
Lineage: Bacteria
Description: bacterial SSU rRNA
Rfam family: Bacterial small subunit ribosomal RNA
Source: RNAcentral